CCUUGAAUCUUUCUCCUUCUUGAGUCGUGAAGAACUUUCUUAUAUUGAAGAGUUAUAGUGAACAAUAGGAACUGAAGGAAUGAAUUGAGUGGUUGCGAAGUGUUUUCAUUGUAAUUCAGUGAGCUCAAGAAUCUCUGUGGUUCUUUCUUGAAUAAUGGGUUCAAGAAUUCAGAUCUGUUUGCUGGUUGUUUCUGUCCAAAUUUUACUUGUAGCAGCGCUGACGAAUAAUGACUGUGCCUUACAUCACUACUGCUUUGAUGGAUGCGAAGCUUGGCACGGAAGGGCGCAAGGAUCUUUUUGAUUGGCUAUCAAGGCAACUUAGUGGAUUAAGCAAUUUUCCUGAUGCUGUAAAUCUGAAUUAUGUAUUGUUUUAAUUUGUUAUGCUAGAUG
This is a non-coding RNA of Camellia sinensis, 390 nucleotides long. NCBI's taxonomy places the organism in Eukaryota, Viridiplantae, Streptophyta, Magnoliopsida, Ericales, Theaceae. The record is from RefSeq and is a predicted model, not a curated record.